Molecule: ribosomal RNA, 581 nt
Filed under: Halogeometricum borinquense
Lineage: Archaea; Methanobacteriati; Methanobacteriota; Halobacteria; Halobacteriales; Haloferacaceae
Description: bacterial SSU rRNA
Rfam family: Archaeal small subunit ribosomal RNA
Source: RNAcentral
AUUCCGGUUGAUCCUGCCGGAGGCCAUUGCUAUCGGAGUCCGAUUUAGCCAUGCUAGUUGCACGAGUUCACACUCGUAGCAUAUAGCUCAGUAACACGUGGUCAAGCUACCCUGCAGACACGGACAACCUCGGGAAACUGAGGCUAAUCCGCGAUACCGAUCCCACGCUGGAAUGCCGGGAUCCACAAACGCUCCGGCGCUGCAGGAUGCGGCUGCGGCCGAUUAGGUAGACGGUGGGGUAACGGCCCACCGUGCCGAUAAUCGGUACGGGUUGUGAGAGCAAGAGCCCGGAGACGGAAUCUGAGACAAGAUUCCGGGCCCUACGGGGCGCAGCAGGCGCGAAACCUUUACACUGCACGCAAGUGCGAUAAGGGGACUCCGAGUGCGAGGGCAUAUAGUCCUCGCUUUUGAGAACCGUAAGGCGGUUCUCGAAUAAGAGCUGGGCAAGACCGGUGCCAGCCGCCGCGGUAAUACCGGCAGCUCAAGUGAUGGCCAAUCUUAUUGGGCCUAAAGCGUCCGUAGCUGGCCACGAAAGUCCGUCGGGAAAUCCAUCUGCCCAACAGAUGGGCGUCCGGCGGAAA